This 253-nucleotide ribosomal RNA is filed under the name uncultured bacterium. RNAcentral describes it as "partial 16S ribosomal RNA". It matches the Rfam family "Bacterial small subunit ribosomal RNA", at positions 524 to 776 of the family's 1533-position model. The record is from RNAcentral.
UACAGAGGUCCCGAGCGUUGUUCGGAUUUAUUGGGCGUAAAGGGUGCGUAGGUGGCAAAGUAAGUUGGAUGUGAAAUCCUGGGGCUUAACCUCAGAAUUGCAUUCAAUACUGCUUAGCUAGAGAGCUGUAGAGGAGACUGGAAUUUACGGUGUAGCAGUGAAAUGCGUAGAGAUCGUAAGGAAGACCAGUGGCGAAGGCGGGUCUCUGGACAGUUCCUGACACUGAGGCACGAAGGCCAGGGGAACAAACGGG